RNAcentral lists this non-coding RNA (24 nucleotides) under Cricetulus griseus (Chinese hamster). Lineage: Eukaryota; Metazoa; Chordata; Mammalia; Rodentia; Cricetidae. The record is from RNAcentral.
CGAGGAGAACUUGGUUUUGGUGGA